GUCGGCGUUAGUUUUGUGCCGGGCGGGUGCGGCUAUGUGCGGAACUUAAUCUGGGAGCGGGCGGCUUUGCAUGCGUGCGGGUCAGCCUGUUUUCCUUCCGCGUCCCCAAGUCAGGCGU
Molecule: ribosomal RNA, 118 nt
Filed under: Amentotaxus argotaenia
Lineage: Eukaryota; Viridiplantae; Streptophyta; Pinopsida; Cupressales; Taxaceae
Description: partial 26S ribosomal RNA
Source: RNAcentral